CAGCCGCGUAAUUCCAGCUCCAAUAGCGUAUAUUAAAGUUGUUGCAGUUAAAAAGCUCGUAGUUGAAUUUCGGGAUUGACACAUCGGUCGUGCCUUAAGGGGUAUGAACUGGUGUAGUCAAUUUCUCACCUUCUGGAGAACCGCAAUGCCCUUAAUUGGGUGUCGCGGGGAACCAGGACCUUUACUUUGAAAAAAUUAGAGUGUUUAAAGCAGGCAUUUUGCUUGAAUACAUUAGCAUGGAAUAAUAAAAUAGGACGGAUGAUUCUAUUUUGUUGGUUUCUAGGACCACCGUAAUGAUUAAUAGGGAUAGUUGGGGGCAUUAGUAUUCAAUUGUCAGAGGUGAAAUUCUUGGAUUUAUUGAAGACUAACUACUGCGAAAGCAUUUGCCAAGGAUGUUUUCAUUAAUCAAGAACGAAAGUGAGGGGAUCGAAGACGAUCAGAUACCGUCGUAGUCUUAACCAUAAACUAUGCCGACUAGGAAUCAGACGAUGUUAAUUUUUUAAUGACUCGUUUGGCACCUUACG
Molecule: unclassified non-coding RNA, 524 nt
Filed under: uncultured Glomeromycotina
Lineage: Eukaryota; Fungi; Glomeromycota
Description: SSU rRNA
Rfam family: Eukaryotic small subunit ribosomal RNA
Source: RNAcentral